RNAcentral lists this ribosomal RNA (468 nucleotides) under uncultured bacterium. RNAcentral describes it as "partial 16S ribosomal RNA". It matches the Rfam family "Bacterial small subunit ribosomal RNA", at positions 28 to 507 of the family's 1533-position model. The record is from RNAcentral.
GACGAACGCUGGCGGCGUGCUUAACACAUGCAAGUCGAACGGAAAGGCCAUGCUUUUGUGGGGUGCUCGAGUGGCGAACGGGUGAGUAACACGUGAGUAACCUGCCCUUGACUUUGGGAUAACUUCAGGAAACUGGGGCUAAUACCGGAUAGGAGCUCCUGCUGCAUGGUGGGGGUUGGAAAGUUUCGGCGGUUGGGGAUGGACUCGCGGCUUAUCAGCUUGUUGGUGGGGUAGUGGCUUACCAAGGCUUUGACGGGUAGCCGGCCUGAGAGGGUGACCGGCCACAUUGGGACUGAGAUACGGCCCAGACUCCUACGGGAGGCAGCAGUGGGGAAUAUUGCACAAUGGGCGGAAGCCUGAUGCAGCAACGCCGCGUGCGGGAUGACGGCCUUCGGGUUGUAAACCGCUUUCGCCUGUGACGAAGCGUGAGUGACGGUAAUGUGUAAAGAAGCACCGGCUAACUACGUG